This 504-nucleotide ribosomal RNA is filed under the name Triticum aestivum (bread wheat). RNAcentral's name for it is "partial small subunit ribosomal RNA". Lineage: Eukaryota; Viridiplantae; Streptophyta; Magnoliopsida; Poales; Poaceae. The record is from RNAcentral.
AUGGUUGAAUUGUUGCUUGAAUACCAAGAAUCCGACGAGCCUGCUGCUUCUGUCCAAGUUGCUAUCCAAGCUGACAAAGAUCAGGACGAUGAAGCGGGCAUAUUACUUGAUCAAUAUAUGAUGCAGCAGCCCAUUGUUUCUUCUCAGCUACACACAGAAUUGGACUUGUACUUGGAGGAGCCUGCUCUCCCUAGAACACAAGAGGUUGACAUCAUUACUUGGUGGAAGGUUGGAGGUAUGAAGUAUCCCACCUUGCAAAGGAUUGCUCAUGAUAUAUUACCCAUUCCAGUCACAACCGUGGCAUCCGAAUCUGCAUUUAGUACCAGCGGCAGAAUACUUAGUGCACAUCGAAGUCUCCUUGCACCCAAAACCGCUGAAGCUCUUAUGUGCAUGCAAGCAUGGAGUCGUGCUAAUAUGUUUGAUAAUGUCACAUCCGACCACUUUGCGAUUCAAUCUGUUCUUGAAGAUGAACAAGAAGCUAUGGAGGAAUGUGUACACCAUUGA